Zingiber officinale is the source of this 648-nucleotide long non-coding RNA. RefSeq lists it as uncharacterized. Lineage: Eukaryota; Viridiplantae; Streptophyta; Magnoliopsida; Zingiberales; Zingiberaceae. The record is from RefSeq and is a predicted model, not a curated record. The transcript is spliced from 2 exons.
UUGGGGGUUGAUUGACCUUAAAUUACCCUAAGUGUGUUAGAUGACCUAGGUAUAAAAUCAGAAGUUGCCUGAUUCUUCUCUUUACGGUGCCUUCCGAAAAUGUCACACUUCUUCUCCCUCUCCACCUCGUGAUCUCCGACCGAUCUUCCCGCUGGGCUCUGAGAUCCGGCCAGGCGCCACUUCACGUAGGCGAUUCUCCGAGGACGACGCGAUCAGACGUAGAAUCCAUCUCACCCGCGGCAUCGUUUCUAGAAGCAGCACGAAGAGGGGAAGAGCAAGGGAAAGACAAGUACACUCCUCUAUGACAAUGUGGGAUCGGUGAGUGAGAGGGACACCUCCUAGGAUAUGAUGGAGACAAUGCAGACGGGAUAGACGAGGAGGCGGGAUAGACACAUGACACACUGUCUGGGUGUCUUUAGGAGUGCUAUAAAGGCUUUUGUUUCUUUUGAGUCUUUUCUUUAAUUGUAUGGAAAAAUAUCUUGGUGCUUCCCUAUCUUUGUGAUGAACUCCUUGGAUUGUGAUGCUACGUGUACAUUGAGUAUGGCAGUUCAUUCGAUAAGGUUCCUAGCAUAGUUCAUUAAUGACAAUGUUUUAGAGGGUUUGUCCUUUGAUUGAACAUUGGUAUACAAUUGAUUGGUAAAUGUUGCA